UGCAACCCAUGCAUCAUGCAAAGAAAAAGCUAGUUUCAUAAAAUAGGUGUUCCUAAGAUGUUCACCAAAGCUUGGUUCAGUUGGGUGAGAAGCCUCAAGCCUAAGAUGUGUUAGAGAGCACCUCAAAACCACACAAUGGGGCAACAGAGCAGAUCUAAUGCCUCACAACCACGCGAUUUGCAGGGGAUACAUCAUUUUGUCAUGGCAUUUUUAAGCAAUAAUGUACAAACCAAAAUACAUUUGCCACAUAAACUAAGCCCACAAGGCUGAUUACCUAAAACAACUCUAACCAAGAUGAUGAUUAUGCUACUCAUAACUAUUUUCAUUUUGCUGAGGCAACUUAUUUGCUCCUGAAUGUCAUUUUCCUCUGAACAAAUCAGGUAAUGGUGUCUCCAGUUAUUCAUCGAUACUGUACUGUGUGGGAAAGGACCAAGAAAAAAGAUAGUAUAUAUGUACAGACUUUUCUGACACUUUGAUUAUUAGCUAGGGUUAAGGCUGCACCCCUGCUGACCAAAACAGCAUUCAUCAUCGGUGGCAUUAAUUUCUAGGUAUAUUGCAGUUAUCACAGUAUGAUUCCUGCAGAUCAACAAUACUUCCCACUUGAUCACUAAAAAUUCUAAGAAAAAAAUAAUGGAGGAAGAAGAAAAGGAGUGAUCAUCUUUAAAUUGCCAACCAAUCCCCCCAAAAAGGAGAUUUCAUAAAAGCAUAAUAAAAAUUCAAUUUUCCAAAACAUAGUCUUGAAUGGUGGCUAAAAGACAUGUUUCUUCAAUCUAGACAACCCUGCGCUGCAGAAUACUAUCAUGCCACCAGCACAUGCAUGGGACUUCAUAUAAUACAUCCCUAGAUGAAUUAUCUUUUCUUUUUGUUUUUUUUUUUUUUUUUUUUUG
RNAcentral lists this long non-coding RNA (887 nucleotides) under Phoenix dactylifera (date palm). Its description in RNAcentral is "long non-coding RNA (PDAC_LNC010105)". The record is from RNAcentral. Lineage: Eukaryota; Viridiplantae; Streptophyta; Magnoliopsida; Arecales; Arecaceae.